This 242-nucleotide ribosomal RNA is filed under the name uncultured bacterium. Its description in RNAcentral is "partial 16S ribosomal RNA". It matches the Rfam family "Bacterial small subunit ribosomal RNA", at positions 15 to 236 of the family's 1533-position model. The record is from RNAcentral.
GAUCCUGGCUCAGGAUGAACGCUGGCGGCGUGCUUAACACAUGCAAGUCGAACGAAGCACUCUAUUUGAUUUUCUUCGGAAAUGAAGAUUUUGUGACUGAGUGGCGGACGGGUGAGUAACGCGUGGGUAACCUGCCUUACACAGGGGGAUAGCAGUUGGAAACGACUGGUAAUACCGCAUACCUUACAUUAUUCGCAUGUUUGAUGUAAGAAAGAUUUUAUCGGUGUAAGAUGGACCCGCGU